UACGGAAGGCAGCAGUGGGGAAUAUUGCACAAUGGGCGCAAGCCUGAUGCAGCCAUGCCGCGUGUAUGAAGAAGGCCUUCGGGUUGUAAAGUACUUUCAGUCGUGAGGAAGGUGUUAAGGUUAAUAACCUUAGCAAUUGACGUUAGCGACAGAAGAAGCACCGGCUAACUCCGUGCCAGCAGCCGCAGUAAUACGGAGGGUGCGAGCGUUAAUCGGAAUUACUGGGCGUAAAGGGCACGCAGGCGGUUAAUUAAGUUGGAUGUGAAAUCCCCGGGCUUAACCUGGGAAUGGCAUUCAAGACUGGUUAGCUAGAGUCUUGUAGAGGGGGUUAGAAUUCCAUGUGUAGCGGUGAAAUGCGUAGAGAUGUGGAGGAAUACCGGUGGCGAAGGCGGCCCCUGGGACAAAGACUGACGCUCAUGUGCGAAAGCGUGGGGAGCAAACAGGGAUUAGAUACC
Molecule: ribosomal RNA, 455 nt
Filed under: uncultured bacterium
Lineage: Bacteria
Description: bacterial SSU rRNA
Rfam family: Bacterial small subunit ribosomal RNA
Source: RNAcentral